GUAGGGAAUCUUCCACAAUGGACGCAAGUCUGAUGGAGCAACGCCGCGUGAGUGAAGAAGGUCUUCGGAUCGUAAAGCUCUGUUGUUGGUGAAGAAGGAUAGAGGCAGUAACUGGUCUUUAUUUGACGGUAAUCAACCAGAAAGUCACGGCUAACUACGUGCCAGCAGCCGCGGUAAUACGUAGGUGGCAAGCGUUGUCCGGAUUUAUUGGGCGUAAAGCGAGCGCAGGCGGAAUGAUAAGUCUGAUGUGAAAGCCCACGGCUCAACCGUGGAACUGCAUCGGAAACUGUCAUUCUUGAGUGCAGAAGAGGAGAGUGGAACUCCAUGUGUAGCGGUGGAAUGCGUAGAUAUAUGGAAGAACACCAGUGGCGAAGGCGGCUCUCUGGUCUGCAACUGACGCUGAGGCUCGAAAGCAUGGGUAGCGAACAGGAUUAGAUGCCCUGGUAGUCCAUGCCGUAAACGAUGAGCGCUAGGUGUUGGGGACUUUCCGGUCCUCAGUGCCGCAGCAAAACG
This 513-nucleotide ribosomal RNA is filed under the name uncultured bacterium. RNAcentral's name for it is "partial 16S ribosomal RNA". It matches the Rfam family "Bacterial small subunit ribosomal RNA", at positions 354 to 857 of the family's 1533-position model. The record is from RNAcentral.